RNAcentral lists this ribosomal RNA (1135 nucleotides) under Capsicum annuum. RNAcentral's name for it is "eukaryotic LSU rRNA". It matches the Rfam family "Eukaryotic large subunit ribosomal RNA", at positions 1978 to 3091 of the family's 3401-position model. The record is from RNAcentral. Lineage: Eukaryota; Viridiplantae; Streptophyta; Magnoliopsida; Solanales; Solanaceae.
UUUUAUGUGAAGUUUUUCUUUGCUGUCCACAGGUCCCCAAAGUGCUGAAAUCUUCCUCAUUACCACCUGAAAAGCAUGCUAAUCACAUAGGUCAGCUCACUUAACUAAAAAUAGACUAAAAGUGCAAGAAUUAUGUAUUUUAUCCUCAAAACAUAGCUAAAACAUGGGUAAGUUAUGGUGCUUAGACAUAUAAAUACGCCCAACAUCACAUUGCGAGGGUCCCAACGGAUGUUCACGCAUUGUGAUUUCUGCCUAGUGAUCUGAAUGUCAAAGUGAAGAAAUUCAACCAAGAGCGGGUAAAUGGCGGGAGUAACUAUGACUAUCUUAAGGUAGCCAAAUACCUCAUCAUCUAAUUAUUGACGCGUAUGAAUGGAUGGGAUUCCCACUAUCCCAGUCUACUAUCCAGUAAAAGCACAGCCAAAAGAACGGGCUUGGCAGAAUCAGCGGGCAAAGAAGACCCUCUUGAGCUUGACUCUACUCCGACUUUGUAAAAUAAAUUGAGAGGUGUAGUAUAAGUGGGAUACGAAAGGCGAAAGUGAAAUACCACUACUUUUAACGUUAUUUUACUUAUUUCGUAAAUUAGAAGUGGUGCACUACCCCUCUUUUUGUACCCAAGCCGCGCUCUGCAGGUCGAUCUGGGCGAAAGACAUUGUCAGGUGGGGAUUUUGGCUGGGGCAGCACAUCUGUUAAAAGAUAAUGUAGGUGUCCUAAGAUGAGCUCAACAAGAACAAAAAUAUCAUGUGGAACAGAAGGGUAAAAGCUUGUUUGAUUCUGAUUUACAGUACGAAUACAAACCAUAAAAGCGUGGCCUAAUGAUCCUUUAGACCUUCAGAAUUCGAAACUAGAGGUGUCAAAAAAGUGUUAACACACGGAUAACUGGCCUGUUGCAGCUAAGCGUUCAUAGCGACGUUGCUUUUUAAUUUUUUGAUUUGGGCUCUUCCGAUCAUUGUGAAGCAGAAUUCACCAAGUGUUGGACUGUUCACCCACCAAUAAGGAACGUGAGCUAGGUUUAGACCGUCCUGAGAUAGGUUAGAUUUUCCCUACUAUGACAGUAUCGCAGUAGUAAUUCAACCUAGUAUGAGAGGAAACGUUGAUUCAUACAAUUUGUUAUCGUGCUUGGUCGAAAAGCCAGUUA